GAGGACGAUGCGCCGAAGAAUCAGAUGAAGCGUCGAGGGACCAAUGACAUGCCGGACAACUUGGUUAAUUGCUUAGGAUUAAUUGUCUCGAUCGAAGUUUUGUUUUAAGUGUGCAAGAUUAACUACGAUGAAAGUAAGACAUGCAGCAGGAGUUGCGCCGGAAUCAAGACAAUGAUCACAUUGGGAGUUCGAGAGUUCGACGGAAGUUCGGACAAUCGUCGGAGGUUCUGCG
Molecule: long non-coding RNA, 232 nt
Filed under: Musa acuminata (dwarf banana)
Lineage: Eukaryota; Viridiplantae; Streptophyta; Magnoliopsida; Zingiberales; Musaceae
Description: long non-coding RNA (MACU_LNC010393)
Source: RNAcentral